RNAcentral lists this ribosomal RNA (119 nucleotides) under Hordeum vulgare subsp. vulgare (domesticated barley). RNAcentral also lists the same sequence under 1 other name. Lineage: Eukaryota; Viridiplantae; Streptophyta; Magnoliopsida; Poales; Poaceae. The record is from RNAcentral.
GGAUGCAAUCAUACCAGCACUAAAGCACCGGAUCCCAUCAGAACUUCGAAGUUAAGCGUGCUUGGGCGAGAGUAGUACUAGGAUGGGUGACCUCCUGGGAAGUCCUCGUGUUGCAUUCC